AUUCCAGCUCCAAUAGCGUAUAUUAAAGUUGUUGCAGUUAAAAAGCUCGUAGUUGGAUUUCUGGCGGGGACCCAAGUACCCCUGGUGGGUGUGCUCGGGCCCGGCCAUCCUUCUGUAAACUUUCGCGCGUCCUUCACCGGUCGGCAAAGGGAUCAGAUAAUUUACCUUGAGAAAAUUAGAGUGUUUCAGGCAGGCUUAGCCGGAAUACAUUAGCAUGGAAUAAUGGAAUAGGACUGAGGUCUCGUUGUUGGUUACGCGGACUACAGUAAUGAUUAAUAGGGACAGUUGGGGGCAUUAGUAUUUAAUAGCUAGAGGUGGAAUUCUCUAAUUUGUUAAAGACUAACUUAUGCGAAAGCAUUUGCCAAGGACGUUUCAUCG
Molecule: ribosomal RNA, 378 nt
Filed under: Strombidiidae sp.
Lineage: Eukaryota; Ciliophora; Spirotrichea; Strombidiidae
Description: partial small subunit ribosomal RNA
Rfam family: Eukaryotic small subunit ribosomal RNA
Source: RNAcentral